This 116-nucleotide ribozyme is filed under the name Aedes aegypti (yellow fever mosquito). RNAcentral describes it as "drz-agam-1 ribozyme". It matches the Rfam family "drz-agam-1 ribozyme". Lineage: Eukaryota; Metazoa; Arthropoda; Insecta; Diptera; Culicidae. The record is from Rfam by way of RNAcentral.
GACCCACUAGUUCCUAUCCCUACCUUCUCGGGGUACUAGCCGGGGCACGAGUAACCUUAGGGAAGAUCGGGUAACCAACUCCGGUGGGAACUCUGGUCGUAUACUGACAGGGAAGG